RNAcentral lists this ribosomal RNA (505 nucleotides) under uncultured bacterium. RNAcentral's name for it is "partial 16S ribosomal RNA". It matches the Rfam family "Bacterial small subunit ribosomal RNA", at positions 28 to 507 of the family's 1533-position model. The record is from RNAcentral.
GACGAACGCUGGCGGCGUGCCUAAUACAUGCAAGUAGAACGCACAGUUUAUACCGUAGCUUGCUACACCAUAGACUGUGAGUUGCGAACGGGUGAGUAACGCGUAGGUAACCUGCCUGGUAGCGGGGGAUAACUAUUGGAAACGAUAGCUAAUACCGCAUAAUAUUAAUUAUUGCAUGAUAAUUAAUUGAAAGGUGCAAUUGCACCACUACCAGAUGGACCUGCGUUGUAUUAGCUAGUAGGUGAGGUAACGGCUCACCUAGGCGACGAUACAUAGCCGACCUGAGAGGGUGAUCGGCCACACUGGGACUGAGACACGGCCCAGACUCCUACGGGAGGCAGCAGUAGGGAAACUUCGGCAAUGGACGAAAGUCUGACCGAGCAACGCCGCGUGAGUGAAGAAGGUUUUCGGAUCGUAAAGCUCGGUUGUAAGAGAAGAACGGGUGUGAGAGUGGAAAGUUCACACUGUGACGGUAUCUUACCAGAAAGGGACGGCUAACUACGUG